UACUAGAUCGGCUAAAUUCAAUAUCUUUCCCAGAAACAGUGGCUCAGUGUUUCCUAACAAUAAGCUCAAAUGUUUGAGCGAUAUAAUUUCCUCGCUUCUGACACUCAUCAAAAUCAGUAUACUGCAUCCAAUUUGGUCUCCUUCAUAUCCCAGUGGCAAGCUUAGCUUCAACUUUAUCCACUUUAAACAAUACUUGGGUUUGCCACACCGUGUCCUAAAGCUGCAAGGUCUCAUUCAUGAUAUGAAUAACAUGCACAGUUGGACACCUACAUUAAGCAUGUAUGAUGAGAUCACUUCCAGUAAAACCUUGAAAUGCAGUAAUGUGAAAAACAUCUGGUUGUUGUGCGUUUGAUUUAAAGUUGGAAGUCGUGGACAAAGGGACUAUACAUUUAUUAACGUGUUCUGUGCUUUGCAGAGGUUUCUGUGCAAUUUACUCAUUAGACUUCAAAAGCAGGGAAUUAUACGACCUCUAGAUUGAAAUUAAAUUAUUAGACAUCAAAAGGAGGAAAAUACAUAAUCUCUUGGUGGAAAUUAGUAAUUGCUUGUUUAAUAAUAAUAGUCUGAAUUUAACACAGCAAUUUUGGCCUACAAAACCACCCAUCCGUGUGUGUACGUGGGUCUGUAUGUGUGCCAAAACCAGAGGCAGGGCUGGAGGGUUGGGAGUUGGCCACUCAACCACCACUGCUUCCCUUGCAGGAGAUGCUGCUGGAUGUACCAAUGCAGACAGCCAGGGGCUCCCAUAGUGCAGUCCUAUGGCCAGCGACGAGUAUCUCAGUCCAUGUGAGAUGGUUGUGUGGCAUCUGUGCCCGAAGCAAGAAGAAAGUUCCAGCUCUGCCGUGGCCACAAGCAUUGGGGCAGUUGGGGUUGUUGCCAUGUCUCCCACGUUUUGUUUGUGGUCCCACCUCGCCUUGCUGAGAUGGAUGUUUCUCACAAAGCCACGAGUGCUGCCAAGUGGGCUCCUCUUUGUCACCUCUACAACCCUCUACCUUCUCUUUGUGCAAAAAUGUGCUCUUGGCAGCCUUGGGUUCACCUGCUUUGGAGGUAGGUCUGUGCCAGCUCUCCUCUUCUCCUCUUCUAGGAAAGCUUUCCUAGUGCUUGUGUUGGAGAGGAACUCGUCAGCAAGAGGUUUCAGGCUGCAUUGCACUGGGAGUCCCCCAGGUAUGUGGCUUGCUGCACGAAACUGCAUCUGUUUCUGUGUUUUAUCUAAUAGGGCUGAAUAG
Coturnix japonica (Japanese quail) is the source of this 1220-nucleotide long non-coding RNA. The record is from Ensembl. NCBI's taxonomy places the organism in Eukaryota, Metazoa, Chordata, Aves, Galliformes, Phasianidae.